Molecule: non-coding RNA, 31 nt
Filed under: Mus musculus (house mouse)
Lineage: Eukaryota; Metazoa; Chordata; Mammalia; Rodentia; Muridae
Source: RNAcentral
ACGNGGAAGCAACCUCCUGGAUGCUGCAAGC